RNAcentral lists this ribosomal RNA (210 nucleotides) under uncultured bacterium. RNAcentral describes it as "partial 16S ribosomal RNA". It matches the Rfam family "Bacterial small subunit ribosomal RNA", at positions 524 to 733 of the family's 1533-position model. The record is from RNAcentral.
UACGAAGGGGGCUAGCGUUGUUCGGAUUUACUGGGCGUAAAGCGCACGUAGGCGGAUCGUUAAGUCGGGGGUGAAAUCCUGGAGCUCAACUCCAGAACUGCCUUCGAUACUGGCGAUCUCGAGUCCGGAAGAGGUGAGUGGAACUCCUAGUGUAGAGGUGGAAUUCGUAGAUAUUAGGAAGAACACCAGUGGCGAAGGCGGCUUUCUGGU